UCCAAAGGUGCCAUUGUUCUUCAUAUAGACC
This 31-nucleotide non-coding RNA is filed under the name Rattus norvegicus (Norway rat). The record is from RNAcentral. Lineage: Eukaryota; Metazoa; Chordata; Mammalia; Rodentia; Muridae.